UUUACGGUAGAAACGAGGUAUCAUCUGCCCCUCACAAACAUGGUGCCUCAUUGUACUGCUCGACUCACACAAACAUGGCGGCGCCCAUACACCACGCCGAUGCUAACAAACACCAUUUACAAACAAACAGGCCAUGGUCUUGACAGAUGUACAAAAGAAACCUUGUGAAUGGAAAUGACUCUGCAAAAUGUUUCACCGGUAAAGGGCUGGGAUGCGGCUCCACUUUUCUUUUGCCUAUUUUUGUUUCCAAGUAUUAAAAAUGACUCCCUGUAUAUUCAGACUCUUUAUAGAACAUAUCUGAAAGAUUGUCUCCUGUGAGUAAUGUUUCAAAGUCCUCUUGUUAUUAAUUUGCUACGUAUCAUUGCAAUAUUUGUUUAUGGAUUUUUGGCAUAGAAAUACAGUUGUACAGUUUGUUCUGUUUUUCUAAAAUAAGUGGCUGUACCGAAGUCCUUUGGAGAAAAAAAAGAUGUACAUGUUAAUGUAACAUGAUAAGAGUCAGUUUGAACACAGUAUUUACUGUUUCUUCAUCGUUGUGACACUUCAGAACUGAUGUGAGCAUGCAAGGGUGCUCUUAAUGGGGUGAAUAGAGCAGGCUUGCUUGUGGAACUGCUGUACUUGGUUAGCCUUCAUGGAGGACCGCCCUUAGCUUUUGUUUGACAGUAGUAGAAAUUGUGAAGAACAAUAGCUUCCAAACCCAUUGAUUAUUCUCCUGCAAUAUUGGAAGUUCAUCUGUGCAACCUGUGUGCACAACACCUGAGUAAAGACAUCUAACCCUGAAUGGACCUGUCCAAACACUUUGAUACAGUUCUGAACUGACCUGUCCAAACACUUUGAUACAGUUAAACAUGUAGAUACAUGGAGGGGCUUCUCUUCCUCUGUAAAUCCUUAAGUUUACAUAACUGUUACAAUCCAGGACACUAUUCAUCUUCAGAUCCUUAUGUCAGGUUUUUUUGUUUAUUAAUUUUAAUGAAAUCAAAGAUAAUUUAUCCUAUUAAUACAAAACUGGGUUUCAUCUUGAGGGAAACUGAAGGCUGCUUUGGAAGUCAGUGGUUAAUAUGGCUGCAUGUAGAAUCCUUUAUGGGAUAGGGAGCUCUUCUGUGGAAUUAUAUUUCAGUUCAUAUUGUAUUCCACAUUGAAUUAUCAUCACUGAUUUAUAAACCUGACAUUCUUCUAUAUUCUAAACGCUAUAAAGGAUUUGAUCUGUAACUCUUAGUAUGAAGUAACUUUACAGAAAGAGCAUCAUAGAAUAGUUUCAGUGUCUCUUAUACCGGAAUAGAUAGACAUGCUGUAUACAGAAUAAAGUCUAUUCAUUUAGAGUAGCGUUCUUUCCUAUAGUACUGUUUUAAAUGAAGUUACAUUCAGGUCUACAGUAUUGAAAUUCCUUAUCCUAAAGGUAUACUUUUAUUUAAACUAUUUUGGGUUCUGUUUUUUGGGCUUUACAAUACAUAUGCUUUAUCAUACUUUCGCUGUGCUUUAUUACACUUCUGCUUUUACCAUUAUAACCUUGUUAAAGGGUCCGGCCAGCUCCGAAAAAUAUCUAUGAUGGAGUGGCUUGGUACAUAAAGUACGUUUUAUAAACCUAAACAGCAAGCAACUUUGCUAACACUUAUAGGAUAGAACCCAAACCCUUUUCUGAUACAAUUGUGUACUUAUAUACUGUAUAUAGGCUACAAAAAGCUGUACACAAGUUACAUUGUAACUAAGCAUAAUAACAUUGUAAUUGUAAGUUCACAUGUAUUUACUAAGUAAAUACUGUGUAAAUGCACAGUAAUUAGAGACUCUUAUUGUAAAGUGUAACUACAAGGGAGGCUAUAUGAGCCUCAGUGCCUAAACAAUGCAAGUGCAGUGUAAGGACAUGCAAUUCAGGGCAUGUUGCUGAGUUAUGAACAGGGACUCGGAAACAGUGCUGAACAGCUGCCACUGUACUUGUAUCAAUCCACAAAAACACACAAAUGAUUAAGUGCAUCAAAGUGUUUAUUUUAAACCUCUUUUGCUCCCCGUGUUU
Molecule: long non-coding RNA, 2005 nt
Organism: Acipenser ruthenus (sterlet)
Lineage: Eukaryota; Metazoa; Chordata; Actinopteri; Acipenseriformes; Acipenseridae
Exons: 3
Source: RefSeq, a predicted model, not a curated record